UACGUAGGGGGCGAGCGUUGUCCGGAAUUAUUGGGCGUAAAGAGCGUGUAGGCGGUUCGGUAAGUCUGCCGUGAAAACCUGGGGCUCAACCCCGGGCGUGCGGUGGAUACUGCCGGGCUAGAGGGUGGUAGAGGCGAGUGGAAUUCCCGGUGUAGUGGUGGAAUGCGUAGAUAUCGGGAGGAACACCAGUGGCGCAGGCGGUCGACUGGCCCAUAACUGACGCUGAGGCACGAAAGCGUGGGGAGCGAACAGG
This 253-nucleotide ribosomal RNA is filed under the name uncultured bacterium. RNAcentral describes it as "partial 16S ribosomal RNA". It matches the Rfam family "Bacterial small subunit ribosomal RNA", at positions 524 to 776 of the family's 1533-position model. The record is from RNAcentral.